This 706-nucleotide ribosomal RNA is filed under the name Klebsiella pneumoniae. RNAcentral describes it as "bacterial SSU rRNA". It matches the Rfam family "Bacterial small subunit ribosomal RNA", at positions 797 to 1503 of the family's 1533-position model. Lineage: Bacteria; Pseudomonadati; Pseudomonadota; Gammaproteobacteria; Enterobacterales; Enterobacteriaceae. The record is from RNAcentral.
ACGCUGUAAACGAUGUCGAUUUGGAGGUUGUGCCCUUGAGGCGUGGCUUCCGGAGCUAACGCGUUAAAUCGACCGCCUGGGGAGUACGGCCGCAAGGUUAAAACUCAAAUGAAUUGACGGGGGCCCGCACAAGCGGUGGAGCAUGUGGUUUAAUUCGAUGCAACGCGAAGAACCUUACCUGGUCUUGACAUCCACAGAACUUAGCAGAGAUGCUUUGGUGCCUUCGGGAACUGUGAGACAGGUGCUGCAUGGCUGUCGUCAGCUCGUGUUGUGAAAUGUUGGGUUAAGUCCCGCAACGAGCGCAACCCUUAUCCUUUGUUGCCAGCGGUCCGGCCGGGAACUCAAAGGAGACUGCCAGUGAUAAACUGGAGGAAGGUGGGGAUGACGUCAAGUCAUCAUGGCCCUUACGACCAGGGCUACACACGUGCUACAAUGGCAUAUACAAAGAGAAGCGACCUCGCGAGAGCAAGCGGACCUCAUAAAGUAUGUCGUAGUCCGGAUUGGAGUCUGCAACUCGACUCCAUGAAGUCGGAAUCGCUAGUAAUCGUAGAUCAGAAUGCUACGGUGAAUACGUUCCCGGGCCUUGUACACACCGCCCGUCACACCAUGGGAGUGGGUUGCAAAAGAAGUAGGUAGCUUAACCUUCGGGAGGGCGCUUACCACUUUGUGAUUCAUGACUGGGGUGAAGUCGUAACAAGGUAGCCGU